RNAcentral lists this ribosomal RNA (496 nucleotides) under uncultured bacterium. RNAcentral's name for it is "partial 16S ribosomal RNA". It matches the Rfam family "Bacterial small subunit ribosomal RNA", at positions 30 to 507 of the family's 1533-position model. The record is from RNAcentral.
CUGACCGCUGGCGGCGUGCCUAAUACAUGCAAGUCGAGCGAACAGACGAGGAGCUUGCUCCUCUGACGUUAGCGGCGGACGGGUGAGUAACACGUGGAUAACCUACCUAUAAGACUGGGAUAACUUCGGGAAACCGGAGCUAAUACCGGAUAAUAUAUUGAACCGCAUGGUUCAAUAGUGAAAGACGGUUUUGCUGUCACUUAUAGAUGGAUCCGCGCCGCAUUAGCUAGUUGGUAAGGUAACGGCUUACCAAGGCAACGAUGCGUAGCCGACCUGAGAGGGUGAUCGGCCACACUGGAACUGAGACACGGUCCAGACUCCUACGGGAGGCAGCAGUAGGGAAUCUUCCGCAAUGGGCGAAAGCCUGACGUAGCAACGCCGCGUGAGUGAUGAAGGUCUUCGGCUCGUAAAACUCUGUUAUUAGGGAAGAACAAAUGUGUAAGUAACUAUGCACGUCUUGACGGUACCUAAUCAGAAAGCCACGGCUAACUACGUG